AAAACUGCAUAAUAGUCAAAUUUAUCUUAUUUUAAACCAUACUUUCAUGGUCUUUUCAUACUUUUUUCCGGACUUCUUUUUUAGAGAAGUAAUUCUGUUUCUAACCAGCUUAUCUAAUCUUGCAAUCAAACAACCCGCUGGCUGAGAUGGUUCACCAACCUUUCUUACAUUUCUCUCAUGCCAUAUUGCAUAUAACACAGCUUGAAAACAAUAUCUCAAUAGGAAUGUCAAAUUUCUCUCAUGAAGACCAUUUACCAAGACCUAAAUGACCUGAGACCAUUGGCUUAUGCUUCUAUUACCCGCCAUAUCGCCAAUGAUACCAC
This 323-nucleotide long non-coding RNA is filed under the name Brassica napus (rape). RNAcentral's name for it is "long non-coding RNA (BNAP_LNC010384)". The record is from RNAcentral. Lineage: Eukaryota; Viridiplantae; Streptophyta; Magnoliopsida; Brassicales; Brassicaceae.